GCUGGCGGCAUGCCUAACACAUGCAAGUCGAACGGUAACGGACCGCUGGGAUUCCUUCGGGAUGACCUUGGUGCCGACGAGUGGCGGACGGGUGAGUAAUACUUAGGAAUCUGCCCAGUAGUGGGGGACAACAUUCGGAAACGGAUGCUAAUACCGCAUACGCACUACGGUGGAAAGUGGGGGAUCUUCGGACCUCACGCUAUUGGAUGAGCCUAAGUCGGAUUAGCUUGUUGGUGAGGUAAUGGCUCACCAAGGCGACGAUCCGUAGCUGGUCUGAGAGGACGAUCAGCCACACUGGGACUGAGACACGGCCCAGACUCCUACGGGAGGCAGCAGUGGGGAAUAUUGGACAAUGGGCGCAAGCCUGAUCCAGCAAUGCCGCGUGUGUGAAGAAGGCCUGCGGGUUGUAAAGCACUUUCAGUAGAGAAGAAAAGCCUAGGGUUAAUACCCCUGAGUCUUGACGUAACCUACAGAAGAAGCGCCGGCUAACUCCGUG
RNAcentral lists this ribosomal RNA (496 nucleotides) under uncultured bacterium. RNAcentral's name for it is "bacterial SSU rRNA". It matches the Rfam family "Bacterial small subunit ribosomal RNA", at positions 35 to 507 of the family's 1533-position model. The record is from RNAcentral.